Tribolium castaneum (red flour beetle) is the source of this 4400-nucleotide RNA transcript. RefSeq lists it as uncharacterized. The transcript is spliced from 3 exons. The record is from RefSeq and is a predicted model, not a curated record. Lineage: Eukaryota; Metazoa; Arthropoda; Insecta; Coleoptera; Tenebrionidae.
AUAAUUGAUAACCGGUAAGGAAAAUUUUUGUUUAAUGACACGCAUAAUUAGUAUUCUUGUUACAAUGGACUAUGAACUGAUACUAAACAAAUUUUUUAUCUGCAACACUAUAAAUUGAUGUUUGUUUUACUAAUUUAGUCAGUUAGUGCUUAAUGGCGAGAGGUGAAGGUUUACUUAAUAGCAGCAUAAACAAGUUACCGAUCGAAUUGCAUCUUCCGGGGUAUCAAUACUGUGGUCCUGGUACAAAGUUAGCAAAAAGACUUAAUCGACAAGAUCCAGGAAUAAAUAAACUUGAUCAGUAUUGUAAAGUUCACGAUAUAGAAUACUCUAAAUCAAAUAAUUUGAAAGAUAGACAUAAAGCUGAUCAAAUUUUGGAAAACAAAGCCUGGUCACGUGUAAUAUCAAAAGACGCUAAAUUUGGUGAAAAAGCAAGUGCGUGGUUGGUAACAAAUAUUAUGAAACUAAAAAGAAAACUCGGAAUGGGUAUUAAAAGAACAACAAAGAAGAAAACAAUUAAGAAGAAAAAAACUCGUAAAUGUCAAAGAGGAAUAAAAAGAACUCGUAAAUGUGGAAGAGGAAUGAAAAAAACACGUCAACAACAACAACAACAACAACAACAACAACAACAACAACAACAACAACAACAUAAUGGAAAGACAAAAAUGAAUUUAAGAAAAAGAUGUAAUACAAAAAAACGAAUUGGAUUUCAAGCUGGUAUUAUUAAUAGUCUAAGAAAAAGUGGUUUAACAGAAAAUCAUAAAAUAAGUACUAUUCUAAAACACGCACGAGCAGCAGUUAAAGCAGCAGGAGGGAAAAAAAAUAUUAAAGUCCCUAGAAUUAUCCCUAUUAAAAAAGGAGGACUUAUACCACUUUUACCUUUAAUUUUUGGUGGACUUAGUGCACUAGGAAGUUUAGGUGCUGGUGCUGCUACAGUGGCUCGUGCAGUAAAUAAUGCAAAAAGUGCACAGAAAAAAUUAGAAGAAGCACAACGGCAUAAUAAAACUAUGGAAGCAAUAGCUAUUGGAAAAAAAGGAAGCGGUCUUUAUUUAAAACGUUUGCGAAAAGGAUAUGGCUUAUUUUUAAAAAAAUUUUCAAAAAACUCCCAAUAAAGCUACCCAAGAAAGCAUUAACUAAUCAAAAUUUACUAAAAUAUGCUAAAAUCUUAAAACUUACAGAUUUUCGAGGUGUAUUUAUGAAAGAUAAAUUACCACAACAUUGUUUUAAUUAUGAAAGUGGAAUAGUAAAUCUUGAUGAUAAUAAAGGAGAAGGCACACAUUGGGUAGCUUAUAAAAAAAAUAAAAAAAUUGUGCAUUAUUUUGAUAGUUUUGGCAACUUUAAGCCACCAAAAUCCCUAAUUAAUUAUUUUAAAAACUGUAAAAUUUAUUAUAACCAUGAUAAAUUUCAAAAUCUAACCUAUAAUUGUGGACAUUUGUGUUUAAAAUUUCUAUAUAAUAUGAAACAUAAUUAAAUUAAAUCAGUUUCAUUCUAACAGUUGUCAUGUUUGUUCUUCUUUUAUUUACUGAUACGAAAAGUGUUUUGAGUGUUAAUCUGUCACCACCAAUUUAUAUUGAUAAUAAUUAUAUAUAUUCUCUAGCACUAAUUGGAUUAGAUACUUAUAAUCACAUACCAAAUAUUGAAGAUGGUACUGAUAAGUUAUAUUAUAACACAAUAACCAAAAAUCCUUCAAAUAAUCAAAUUGUUAGAACACAAAACGUAAUUCGUCUUCCUAAAGGAACAUUUGAAAUUUCAGAUAUCGAAAAAUACAUUCAAGAUAAUUUAGUUGGAAGUGAAGUAAGUGAGAAAGAAAGAAAUACAUUUUUUUCAUUAAAACCAAAUAUAAAUACAUUAAAGUGUGAAAUAAAAAGCAUAUACGAAAUAGACUUUACGCCAGCUGAUUCAAUUUCUAAAAUCCUAGGCUUUUCCAAUAAAAUAUUACAAGCAAAUCAAUUACAUGAAAGCGAUUUACCUGUAAAUAUUAUCAAGGCAAAUUCAAUAAGGGUAGACUGUAAUAUAAUAGAAGGCUCAUAUUUAAACGGAAAUUUAUAUCAUAGUUUAUAUCAAAGUCCAAUUACUGUAAGUCCAGCUGAACAAAUUGUAAUAAGUCCCCAAAAUCAUAUUUAUUUACCUAUAGAUAGACAACAAGUCAUAGAAAAUAUUACCCUAAAACUUGUUGAUCAAAACAGUGAAUUAAUUGAUUUUAACGGGCAAACAAUCAAUAUUCAAUUAGCAUUAAAAAUUGAAAGAAAAUAAUAUUGAAUAUGAGAUUAAUCUAUAAAGAUGAGAGUUCCACCAGUUUCUUAUCAGUACCAAAUGAACCAUCUAGCCGUUCAUUAGCUAUAACAAGUGGUUCUUCAAAAAACUUAAAAUCUACAAAAAAACUAACCUUAAAAUCGAAAACAAAAUUAACCUCAAAAAGUAUCAAGAUUUUAAAAUCAUUAGGUUACAAUGUCGUUAAUAUCAAACGUACUCCAAAUCUUUCGAAAACCUACACAAGACGAAAGUAUUGAAAGGACAGAAGAACACACAUAUAAUCCUCAAAAUCAACUAUUUAGAAAUAAUGAUCGCAUAAAUUUUAUUAUUAAUCAAGAAAACGUAUGGAUAUUAUGGAAAAAAUCAUAUAUUAAAAUCAAUUGUACCUUAGAAUGGGAUCCACUUCCUGCAAACACAACUGAAGAAGCAUUUGGUCAAGUUACUUUAACCAAUAAUAUCGGUCCAUUUUUAUUUGAUUCUAUUUCAUAUUACCUUAAUAAUACUGAAAUAGAUAGUGUAGACCAAGUUGGUUUGGUUUCAACAGUUAAAACAUAUCUUUGUUUUAUGAAAAAUGAAUUUGAGGAAUAUCAGUCUCUAGGAUGGACAAAAAAUUUAAAUGAUCAACUUUAUACAUUUGAUCCGAGAACUAAAAAGUUUUCUCUUAAAUUAAAAUUAUCUCAAAUGUUAAAUUUACCAUUUACUUAUGAACGUAUUAUGUGUGGCACUCAUAAAAUAAGUUUAGUAAGAUCUAGAACAGAUGAUAAUUGUUAUGUGAGUACAGGAGUAAGAAAAGCUCGAAUUACUAUAACAGAUAUGAAUUUAGUAGCUUUACAUGUUUAUCCUGCUGCUAAAAUUCAACUUCAGUUACUUGAUUCAAUAAAAAAAAAUCGUGCAAUUCCAUUAGCUUUUCAAAAAUGGGAAAUACAGUCUAAGGAUUUACCAGACGCUAAAACAACUUCAUGGAAAAUUCAAACCAUUCAACGUGUUGAACGUCCUAAUUGGAUUAUUGUAUUUUUUCAAACUGAACGAGAUUUUAAUUCACGAAAAAAUAGCACUCAUUUUGAUCAUAUUAACUUACAAAAUAUAAGAUUAAAAAUUAACAGCAGAUAUAUUCCUUACGAUAAGUGGAGACUUGAUUUUACAAAAAAUUAUUAUGAAGAAGCUUAUGAUGCUUAUACUGAGUUUUAUAAAACCUAUUAUCAAAAAAAUCGCCAUCAACCAUUUUUAAAUUAUAAUGAAUAUAAAAAUUCACCUUUAUUUAUAAUUGACUGUACGACUAAUGUACACGAAAAUGCUUUCUCUUCCGAAAUGGAUGCCACAAUCGAAAUUGAAAGUUCAGAAAAUUUUCCAAUUCAUACAAAAGCCUACUAUAUAAUUAUUCAAGAUCGAGUCGGAAGUUAUAAUGCAAUAUCAGAAGCAAUUACCAUGUUUCCAUAAUCUUAAUUUAGAUUAGAUUCGUUCAAUUUAGUUUAAUUUAGUUUAAUUUAGUUUAGUUUAAUUUAAUUUAAUUAUAGUAAUUUUAAAUGAAAAUUCAAUAAGUAUGAGUCAUUAUCUUUCGAGUAUAAAUUUAGAACCAACUGCAGAUAAGAAAUAUUAUAUAAAAAAAAAACAACUGUUUCCAUGUAUCAGAACAUCUUGGGGUUUUUAACACAAAACACGAUGACAAAAUUAAAUACAGGUUUCAACGUUAAAGAAAAGAACAAAAAAAACGAAAAGAAUGAAAAGAACAAAAAAAACCAAAAUAAUGAAGAGGAGGAAAUUAAUAAAGAUAUUUCUUGGGACGUACGAGUAAUUAAAAAAGGCGAUGACUUUUCACUUCUUUUAUCGUUUUUUUUUACUUACGCUUUUAAUGCAAUAGGAUUUUUAAUAAUAAUGAUAAUGUGUUUUUCCAAAAAAACAUAUAUUACAAUGGCUGGGUAUUAUGGAGCUUUAAUGGGAUUAGCAGUAUCGAUACUUCACUACGGUCUAAGUUUAUUCUUUACAUUCCUAAGGACUAACAAAACUGACACUUCCAUUUUAAUUUCUUCUUUAUUAAUAUGUAUUUCAGCAUUGGUGUUGUAUAUCAAUUGGAUAAUGUUUUUUUAUAAAUUUUAUAACUUUCAAAAUCAAGCGUGUAUAUUAAUUACAAAAAAUAAAAUAUCUAAUCCUUA